Molecule: unclassified non-coding RNA, 347 nt
Filed under: soil metagenome
Description: partial contains 5.8S ribosomal RNA, internal transcribed spacer 2, and large subunit ribosomal RNA
Rfam family: 5.8S ribosomal RNA (bases 1-120)
Source: RNAcentral
GAUGAAGAACGCAGCGAAAUGCGAUAACUAAUGUGAAUUGCAGAAUUCCGUGAAUCAUCGAGUCUUUGAACGCACAUUGCGCCCCCUGGUAUUCCGGGGGGCAUGCCUGUCCGAGCGUCAUUGCUGCCCAUCAAGCACGGCUUGUGUGUUGGGUCCCGUCCCCCUCUCCCGGGGGACGGACCCGAAAGGCAGCGGCGGCACCGCGUCCGGUCCUCGAGCGUAUGGGGCUUUGUCACCCGCUCUUGUAGGCCCGGCCGGCGCUUGCCGACACCCAACCAUUUUUUUCAGGUUGACCUCGGGUCAGGUAGGGAUACCCGCUGAACUUAAGCAUAUCAAUAAGCGGAGGA